GUUAAGCGACUAAGCGUACACGGUGGAUGCCCUGGCAGUCAGAGGCGAUGAAGGACGUGCUAAUCUGCGAUAAGCGUCGGUAAGGUGAUAUGAACCGUUAUAACCGGCGAUUUCCGAAUGGGGAAACCCAGUGUGAUUCGUCACACUAUCAUUAACUGAAUCCAUAGGUUAAUGAGGCGAACCGGGGGAACUGAAACAUCUAAGUACCCCGAGGAAAAGAAAUCAACCGAGAUUCCCCCAGUAGCGGCGAGCGAACGGGGAGCAGCCCAGAGCCUGAAUCAGUGUGUGUGUUAGUGGAAGCGUCUGGAAAGGCGUGCGAUACAGGGUGACAGCCCCGUACACAAAAAUGCACAUACUGUGAGCUCGAUGAGUAGGGCGGGACACGUGGUAUCCUGUCUGAAUAUGGGGGGACCAUCCUCCAAGGCUAAAUACUCCUGACUGACCGAUAGUGAACCAGUACCGUGAGGGAAAGGCGAAAAGAACCCCGGCGAGGGGAGUGAAAAAGAACCUGAAACCGUGUACGUACAAGCAGUGGGAGCGCGCUUAGGCGUGUGACUGCGUACCUUUUGUAUAAUGGGUCAGCGACUUAUAUUCUGUAGCAAGGUUAACCGAAUAGGGGAGCCGAAGGGAAACCGAGUCUUAACUGGGCGUUAAGUUGCAGGGUAUAGACCCGAAACCCGGUGAUCUAGCCAUGGGCAGGUUGAAGGUUGGGUAACACUAACUGGAGGACCGAACCGACUAAUGUUGAAAAAUUAGCGGAUGACUUGUGGCUGGGGGUGAAAGGCCAAUCAAACCGGGAGAUAGCUGGUUCUCCCCGAAAGCUAUUUAGGUAGCGCCUCGUGAAUUCAUCUCCGGGGGUAGAGCACUGUUUCGGCAAGGGGGUCAUCCCGACUUACCAACCCGAUGCAAACUGCGAAUAC
This 920-nucleotide ribosomal RNA is filed under the name Shigella flexneri. RNAcentral's name for it is "partial 23S ribosomal RNA". It matches the Rfam family "Bacterial large subunit ribosomal RNA", at positions 1 to 963 of the family's 2925-position model. Lineage: Bacteria; Pseudomonadati; Pseudomonadota; Gammaproteobacteria; Enterobacterales; Enterobacteriaceae. The record is from RNAcentral.